This 261-nucleotide unclassified non-coding RNA is filed under the name Hevea brasiliensis (rubber tree). Lineage: Eukaryota; Viridiplantae; Streptophyta; Magnoliopsida; Malpighiales; Euphorbiaceae. The record is from RNAcentral.
GGGCAACUCAAGUACGAUUGAAGGGGUUAAGUCCAAUCUGUCUGGCCUCGCUUACACCAACAACUAAACUAUAUGGGUCAAAAGACGGCUUGGCCAAGCAGCGCUCUAGUUAGCUCUGAUAGAAAGAAAAUCAUCAUGUCGUCAAGGCAGUUCAUGAAUGAAUGGGAAUCGUUGGAGUGUCGAGCGCCCAUACCGGCUCAAGGACCAGAAUUCGUAUAGGAUAUAAUCUUUUUCUAAAAGAAUCUUUCUAUCGGCGGGGGG